CCAUAUCACGUUGAAACACCAGUUCUCGUACGAUCACCGAAGUUAAGCAAUGUCGAGCCUGGUCAGUACCUAGAUGGGUGACUGCUUGGGAGUAUCAGGUGCUGCAAG
Molecule: non-coding RNA, 108 nt
Organism: Acanthosepion pharaonis
Lineage: Eukaryota; Metazoa; Mollusca; Cephalopoda; Sepiida; Sepiidae
Source: the annotation of a GenBank genome assembly